AUUUAUGGGAAACAAAGGAUUGUUCUCUUCUCAAUAUCUGUAGUUGCGAUCACCCCAGAAAUCUCCAUCCCGGUCUUCAGGGGACACUGUUACGUUCCUUCCUAAUCUGUAUGAUUUGUGAACCCUUACCCUUCUCCCUCCCAUCCCCUGGCCACCAUUAAAUAGCUAGCUCUGCAGCUGCAGGACCUGACAGCUUGAAGAAGUGAGGCCCCUGGUCUGCUGAAUACUGGGACUGGCAGGGAGCAGCUCUGUGACCAAUGUGGAACGUGCCAGUGGGGAUCAUCCUGACUGGAGUACUUAGUGAGUUUCCCUGGAGCCACUGUGCACGUAGGUGUCCCUGCCUGCCCUGAUCACACCCUGGCCAUCAACUUCCUUCACAUCACCAUGUCUCAUGGCUUCAGGCAUCUUAUCGUAGAAUCCAUGGAGUUGGAAAGGACUUAAAUGGCCAUCUAGUCCAACUCCCCUGCAAUGAAGAGGGACAUCCACAGCUCCAUCAGGCUGCCCAGGGCUUGAGCCAACCUUGCCUUGAAAGUCUUCAGGGACAGUGCAUCCACCACAGCUCUGUGCAACCUGUUCCCAUGCCUCACCACCCUCACUGGAGAAGACUUUUUCCUUAUAUCUGACCUACAUUUUCCCUCUUUAUGCUUGAAAUUGUUUCCCCUUCUUCUAUCACCACAGACCCUGCUAAAGAGUCUGUCCCCUUCUUUCUCAUCAUUCCCCUAUAGAUACUGACAGGCUGCCCUCAGGUCACCUUGCAGCCUUCUUUUUUCCAGGCUGCACAGCCCCAGCUCUCAGCCUGUCCCCAUAGGAGAGGUGUUCCGUCCUUGGUUCGUAUUUGUAGCCCAUCUUGGGACAUGCUCCAACAGGUCUGUGUCUUUCCUGUACUGAGGGCUCCACACCUUGAUGCAGUACUCCAGCAGAAAACAGGGGAAGGUAGCAGGAGACCACAUCCCACUGAUAUGGAAAAACACAGCACCUGAUCACCUGCCGAUCCUUGCCCAGAUGCUGCUCAGCAAUGAGAAGCUGUAUUUGCAGGAUUGCCUCAGAACCCAGCUUUGCUGACUGGCUGCUGGUUGCCCAAAGAGGUAAGGACGAUGUACACAGACCAACGUUUACCCAUGAGAUAUUGUGGCAGAACGCUCCGUAUCAAAAGCGAUCCCGUGGAUAUUUUCAAGCCUUGGGCAAACCGGACGGAAUCUCGGACUGGUGAGGCUAGGUACGGAAGCUCUGUUAAUUGUUCCAAACCUCCCUUGGCUUUGCUGCGCACACCCAUCCUAUUGAUCCAGCUUUUUUAAUCACCUCAGACACUGACAAAAAAUAAAAAAGGGAAAAAAAAAAGCCCUUAGCACAGGU
Long non-coding RNA from Numida meleagris (helmeted guineafowl), 1353 nucleotides. RefSeq lists it as uncharacterized. The transcript is spliced from 2 exons. NCBI's taxonomy places the organism in Eukaryota, Metazoa, Chordata, Aves, Galliformes, Numididae. The record is from RefSeq and is a predicted model, not a curated record.